AUUGUGGUUGAUCAGUCCCAGCUAUCCUUCUUCUCCAUCUCGAGCCAUUUUUGCAUGUAUACUGGUCAGUACGUAAUCGUUCUGACGCCCUUUUCACCUGAAGUAUCUGAAGCUUUGCCUACUGGCUUGAACACUCAAUCUGCACACUUUAAGCAACUGUUUUGCAGAUAUAAUCAAUUAUGCAUAUCAUACUGACCAGUAACCAAGGCCUAGAAUACGACUUAUCAGUGUACUUCAGAUUUUGUUCUUAAAAAAAUCCAGAAAAACUAUAAAACUAAAAAUAAAAAAAAGAAGAGAAAUGUCAGGACUCUUGUUUGUAUAUACCUUUUUUUCAAAAGUUUGCUUUAGUAAGUUUUCUUUGAUCCUUUAUUCUGGUUUGGGCAACUGUUUAUAUCUAGGAUAAUGUGGGCUUACAAAUUGGAAAUAAACAUGACAGAGGAGAAGAAGAGAGGCAUGGAAAUCUUAAGUGGCUGAAAGAAGCCUUUGGAGAGCACAAGUCCAGGAAGUUUCUCUCAUCUUUCUCAUUUUGUGGUUAUACUUAUUUUAUGCAUUGAUCUUUAGAUAUAAAGUCUUAAAGUCUAGUUUGUAAAUAUUUUCCUUGAUUUUAGUUCGGUAAAAAGGACUUUCUUAGAAAAUCCAAAAACAUUUAAUAAACAUGAAAAUCAACAAAAAGAUUUUGAAGUUUUUUGUAAAUACCUUUGUCAGUUAGGCUUAUUUCUUAAAAAACAUUGAAAAACUAAAAAAACAGCAAAACAUGUUUGUAUAUAUUUUGAUUUAGUUUAGUUUGUUUUAGUAAGUUUUUUUAAAAAGAAAAAAGCUCAAAAUAGAAUAAGUGUAUUUCUUGAUUGUUUUGCUAGCCUAUACAAGUUCAGUUUGAAUCCCUCUUGAAUUGAGGUUACUAAGUAAAACAUGUUUAAACAAAGUAGGCUACACAAAGCAUUCAAGUUUCUUGUAAACACUUUUUUCCCUUUUCUGCCUUAGUUAGUUUUGGGGGUUAUUGAGAAAAUGUGCUUAAUUAUGUGAGAAUUUGCAAGGGAAAUAGAGUUUUUGGCAAAGACAAAUUUCAGUUUUGGGCUAAUUCUUUUACCAAAAUUUUGUUUCCCUUUGCAAUUUCAUAUUUUCCCCCACUAACUUUAGAGUUAUUUUGGUUUGCACUAAUCCCUCUUCUCUUCUUUAUGUUACAAUGUUGUGGAGUGAAAAUGCCAAAAGAGUAGAAGAAGGAGAUUAAAUGAGAGGGUUGUCUUGGAUAAGAAAAAUUGAGGUGCAUGGGAGUAAGAUGAUAGAGCAGAAGUUGGAGGAGGAGAAAUCCACCAAGGCUGCAGAGGAGCCAGCUAAAUCUAAAGAGGACCAGCAGACCGCGGUCUCAAGCCAACUGACUCCGAACCAGCUACCUCUGAGCCAAGAGAGAGAGCCCAUACUUAACCCUGACCCUGGACCACACUUCCUGAGGAUGGUGUGAUUAAAAUGGCUACAACAGCACAGCAGGCUUCCCACUCAAGGAAAAGAGAUUGAACUGCCCAAUCCAUGAUAUGCCUAAGACGAAACGUGCAGAAGCUGCCCUGCCUAGCGCACCCGAAAAUUGAAGAAAUAUAAGUGGAAGCAUCGGAGAGCAAUGAUAGCUAAAUGUGGAGCAAAAAAACCAUAAAAAAAGAAAAUUGAAGGACUAAUCUGCAAUUUGCAAAGAAAGGAAGGAUUGAAGACUCAUUUCAUAGGAGUCUUGUGACCUAGCUCAAGAAGGAGCCGCCACUUAAAAAAAAGAAAAAAAGGAGGGCAGAUUCAGAGAGGAUCCCACGCAGAAUUCACAUCAUCUCACACCAUAAUGGAGAGAAUUUUCUUAGACAAUGGUUGAAGAUUCAUUUCAUGCUGCUACUGUUUGCAAAGGAUUUUUGCUGCAAUUCAGAAACUAUGGGAUAGAAGACACUCAUUUUAUUGCUUUAUUUUACUUCAUUGUUCGACUACUGCAGUUAUUUCUGGGAAUUUCAGCUCUUAUUUUAGCUUAGUGCAGAUUUAGUUUUCCCUUUAGCUUUGUUUCCUGCCAUUUUCCAACUCUUCUCCAGAUUGCAUAAUGGUGUUUAGAUAAUUGAUAGCUACCGUUCCAUUAGUUCAGUUUCUUUUCGAA
Long non-coding RNA from Salvia splendens (bonfire salvia), 2119 nucleotides. RefSeq lists it as uncharacterized. The transcript is spliced from 2 exons. Lineage: Eukaryota; Viridiplantae; Streptophyta; Magnoliopsida; Lamiales; Lamiaceae. The record is from RefSeq and is a predicted model, not a curated record.